Molecule: ribosomal RNA, 921 nt
Filed under: uncultured bacterium
Lineage: Bacteria
Description: bacterial SSU rRNA
Rfam family: Bacterial small subunit ribosomal RNA
Source: RNAcentral
AGAGUUUGAUCCUGGCUCAGAGUGAACGCUGGCGGCAGGCCUAACACAUGCAAGUCGAACGGCAGCACAGAGGAGCUUGCUCCUUGGGUGGCGAGUGGCGGACGGGUGAGGAAUACGUCGGAAUCUGCCUAUUUGUGGGGGAUAACGUAGGGAAACUUACGCUAAUACCGCAUACGACCUACGGGUGAAAGUGGGGGACCGCAAGGCCUCACGCAGAUAGAUGAGCCGACGUCGGAUUAGCUAGUUGGCGGGGUAAAGGCCCACCAAGGCGACGAUCCGUAGCUGGUCUGAGAGGAUGAUCAGCCACACUGGAACUGAGACACGGUCCAGACUCCUACGGGAGGCAGCAGUGGGGAAUAUUGGACAAUGGGCGCAAGCCUGAUCCAGCCAUGCCGCGUGUGUGAAGAAGGCCUUCGGGUUGUAAAGCACUUUUGUCCGGAAAGAAAAGCUUAGGGUUAAUAACCCUGAGUCAUGACGGUACCGGAAGAAUAAGCACCGGCUAACUUCGUGCCAGCAGCCGCGGUAAUACGAAGGGUGCAAGCGUUACUCGGAAUUACUGGGCGUAAAGGUGCGUAGGUGGUUUGUUAAGUCUGAUGUGAAAGCCCUGGGCUCAACCUGGGAAUGGCAUUGGAAACUGGCUUACUAGAGUGCGGUAGAGGGUAGCGGAAUUCCCGGUGUAGCAGUGAAAUGCGUAGAUAUCGGGAGGAACAUCCGUGGCGAAGGGGGCUACCUGGACCAGCACUGACACUGAGGCACGAAAGCGUGGGAGCAAACAGGAUUAGAUACCCUGGUAGUCCACGCCCUAAACGAUGCGAACUGGAUGUUGGGGGCAACUUGGCCCUCAGUAUCGAAGCUAACGCGUUAAGUUCGCCGCCUGGGAAGUACGGUCGCAAGGCUAAACUCAAAGGAAUUGACGGGGGC